Molecule: ribosomal RNA, 254 nt
Filed under: uncultured bacterium
Lineage: Bacteria
Description: partial 16S ribosomal RNA
Rfam family: Bacterial small subunit ribosomal RNA
Source: RNAcentral
CUAAGUUUGAUGGCGGCCGGCGCACGGGUGAGUAACACGUAUCCAACCCGCCGAUGACUCGGGGAUAGCCUUUCGAAAGAAAGAUUAAUACCCGAUGGCAUAGUUCUUCCGCAUGGUAGAACUAUUAAAGAAUUUCGGUCAUCGAUGGGGAUGCGUUCCAUUAGGUUGUUGGCGGGGUAACGGCCCACCAAGCCUUCGAUGGAUAGGGGUUCUGAGAGGAAGGUCCCCCACAUUGGAACUGGGACACGGUCCAA